UAUAAUUGUUGAUACUAGAUUAAAGUUUAAUAUUUUAAGUUGUUCCAAAAUCUGAAGCAUUUUUAUUUGAAUUGAGCAUAUUUACACGGUUAUUAUCCUAUUUAGUUAUGAGAAUUGUUCAUGUAUACAUCUUAGAAUUUUCAUUUUUAACAUUAUGAGUUAUAACAAAGGAUUUAUUAACUACGUCUCUGCAUUUAGUAUUUCUUAACCCUGUAAGCUUUCAAAAAGAGUAGUAUUAUUAAAACAAAUAAUUCCUUUGUAAACUCAAUUUUAAAGAAUGGAGGUUUUAUGGAAAAACCCUGUAAAAUGACUGAUUUGAGGCACAAAUUUUAAAGAAAGAAAUAUACUUUUUAACUGAGAUAAUAUUUAAAUUCUUUUAACUUUAGCGAAUAUUUCGACGCUAUUCACAGUUUCGUUUUUAAAAUAAGUAACCCAUUUUACCUUGACUUUUUAUAUUGAAGUGAUAUAAAAAGUGACUUUCUAGAAAAGUUGAUUUAUUAUCUGAUGUUAAACUAAAUGGCUAUAUUCUGCUGUAACUCCUCUUUUUUUCCAAGAAGUUCCAACUCCUUAUUGUCUUAAAAAUAGUGACAGACACCUAAAUCAUAAAAAAAAUUAUGGUAAUUAAGAAGCUUUUGAUUAUCCUAAACGAAUGAUAAUCCUUUAACAAGUGUCCUAUCACAAUAUAUGAUUUUUUGAGAAAAAAAACUGUCUUAUAAAUAUGACACUGGGUGCUAAUUAAUUAAAUUUACCAUUCAAAAUACUGAUUGGAAUAACAUUUAAAAAAAAUAACUUUAUUGUAUAAUAAAAGUUAAAUUUUCCAUUCAAAAUCUGAUUGCAAAAAAUAAUUUAAUUGUGAAGUGAAGAUAGUCACAAUCAUUAGUGUUUUUUGUUUUUUUUAUGUAUAUAUAUCACAGUACAAGAAAGCAUCUUGAUGUUUUGACAAUCUUGAAAGUAAUCAUAAAUGUUAGUUUUCACCUGUUAACAGUUUAGAUGUUCCCUUUAUAUUUGUUGUGUUAAAUUUUGACUACAUUAGUAAAAGCACUUUUGAGCUCUUACUAACUAGUAAAAUUUAAUAUGAAAGAGUAAUGGCUUUGUGUGUGUAAUUUUUUCCUUGACAUUAUUUUUUGUUUGAUUCUGAGCCUUAAAACUUAAAAAUGUUUGUUAAUUACUAGCAUCCAUUAUAACUUUUUUUUUUCAAAAUAAAUUAUAUAUAAAAAUUUAUCAUUAUUUUUUAAAAGUCUUGAUAAUAAAAUGUAUAGAAUUAUUCUUGAAAAUGUUAAGAAUUAAUGUAGUAUAUUCUCAAGAAUAUUCUAAGAUGAGAUUCUGUUGAAUAAUUUUUAAGUGACGAUUUUAUGCAUUAGUUAGAUUUUCUAUUAACUUUUACUUUUUCUCGUUUCUAGAUUUGUUGUGUAUUUUUAUUUGCAACUUGCCGUAUUGUGUUAUGUCUAAAAAAUUAUCUGUCUCUUUUGUGUGUGUCAUUAGUAAAAUUAAAACUUCAAACACUUAUUAUUAUUUUUUUCUUAACACAUUAAUCUGUCCAUUAUGUGACAAACUCUAAGUAGACCUGCUGGGCUCACUUUUCGAGGUUAAUCUUUUUUCUUUCUUUUUUUUAAGUAUAAAUAAUAAGAAACUUGACUUUCCUUUGAUGUGUCAAUUUCUAACUCAGACUUACUUCUUACACACAUUACUUAUUUUUCUAUAUUUUACUUUGUAUAACAUUUUUGUUUAUUUUCCAGGGAGCCCUUAUUCUGGUGUUUGUGAAGCAAAGUUUUUUUCUAUCUCACUUCCCUGUAAUUUACAAAGAUGUGGUGGUGACACUUUAUAUCGUUUCAGUGAUCUUCUUUCUUCUAGAAGUCAUCGUGGAUCUCAAAAUUUGCUAAAAACUGAUCUUGCAGCAAAUAAAUUAAUUGACUGUAAAAUAUGUGGUAUGAAGUUCAAGAAAAAAUCUAAUUUAAGGGUUCAUGUCUUAAAACACAGAUUCAGUGAAAAUUUUGUCACACAUAUGGUUCAGGCUCAAAAUAUUUUUCAUUGUCAAAACUAUGUGAAUGAUCUAAAACAAACUGGCCAAAAAUUGUUUUAAGUUCCACUAUAUAGCAUUUAUAAAAAUUAUGUUUAUUUGACGGAUAUUACUGCAAAAUAUGUUGGAAGCAUUUUUCUUCAAAGACCUUGUUAAAAAGGCAUACAAAAACUCAUGAGAAACAUCGUCCUUUUAAAUGUCAAUAUUGUUCAUAUUCAGCUAUUUCUUUAUCACAUUUAAAGCGACAUUUUCUUACACAUACUCAGCAGCGUCCUUUUCGUUGCACCACUUGUGGAAAAUCUUUUAAUCAUAAGGAUACUUUAAAAAAUCACCUCUACAUUCAUACCGGUAACAAACCUUAUCAAUGUGAUCUUUGUAGUACUCAAUUUACUCGAUAUGCUCUUUUAAAACAACAUAAAAUGCGUCAUCAUUAUGCAUUACAUUAAUUUAUGCUCUCUAUUUGUAUUCCUUUUGUCUAUUCAUAUCCUUAAAAAAUAAAAUUAAAAUGACACUUGAAUAUUUAUUAUGGCUAUUUAGGACACAAUACACUUGAAAAUUAUAUAUUUCAGGAAGAGCUAGCUUCUCUUCAUCAGGCAUCAACUGUCUGGUGUAGUGAAGCUUGUUCUUCCCAAAACCUGCAGAUUUAUUUUUAUGUGUAUGGAACACUUAAGAAGUCUUAAUAAAUAAUCAUGUGUUUCACACCUGUUUUGAUUCUUCAAUGAAAUGACACACUUUUGCUUUGUAAUUAUACUCAAAUUAUUUUCUUAUACCUUUUAAUUUCAAAAAAAAUAUUUAAAUGUAUUUCUUUAUUGUAUAUAUUAUUUUUGUUUAAAUACUCUCUCCUUUUUCUCAUCUUGUAAAGACAUAAGUCAUGCCUUUUUUAUAUUUUUCAAAAAAUUCCUUAAUUCAUCACAUCUUUCUUCUUUUUUUUUAAAGUGGGAUUCUCAAAACGAAAUCUAAAUUACUCCUGUAUGGAUUAAUUUGCAACAUCAAGCAUAUACUUUUUCUAUUUGUAAUUUUAAAUAUUUUUGAUAAAUUAUGCUUUUCCUCUCUAUCUUAACUGUUGUUGUUGUUUCUCAUCCCCACUGGUCUAGCGGAGCUAGACGAGGUCCAUGAACCCAUUCACCCUCAGGAAAUCAAAAAUUAAGACCGGGUCGCGCAGAAAAUCCUCCUUUUCAAAAUCCACACAGCUAAGGAGGUGGGCCUUGCUGGCUGCACUGGAGAAACAUUUGUUGCAGGUGGGAUAGACCUUUCAUUGCUGUUCGUACCUCAUGCACCUAAUGUGACCACUGAUGAAUCUAGUGAACACGGUCUGAUCGCCUCUAUUACCUCUUAAGGUCAAAGCACGACCCACCUUAUCCCCAGAGUACCAGAUAUGUACUGGGGGAGUAUUCCAGACUAGCUGGGCACCUUUCUUUCUAAUGGAGUUCUCUAUCUUAUCUGGCUAUGUUGAUAGCUUUGUUUUUCGCUCUUCCAUAGAAACUUAUUUUUAUGUAAAAAAGUUCUUGCUAAUUAAAAUUUUCUCAUAAAAGAAUUUUAAAAUUAUCUUCCUUACUUACAUUUUAAUCAUUUUGAUUUCUAAGAACAAUUUUAGGCAUUUGAUAAAUUUCACUUUGUUAACUCAUUGGUAAAGCAUCAACAUUAUCUUAAGUUAGAAAAUGGAGAAAAAAAUUAGUCCUCCUUGUAUAUUUUGCACUAAAACCAUAAGUCUCAAUAAAAAUCAUAAAAUGGCGCCAUUUUUAAUUUGUUGCUAAGGUUACCUAUAAAAAAUCAAUUCAGUGUAUUUAUAAAAGGGUGUGAGAUAAUGUUUUAUAACUCUAUGCUUCUAUUUACCAUUUUCUGAAUUUAUACAUUGUGUUAUUUAUAUGUAAAAGGAAACUAUAGUAUUACUUAAAUUUAAAGUUCAUUUUUUACUCCAUUUUAAUUCUGUACAAAGAUAAAGAAUAUCUAUAUCUAAGUUUAAUUUGAAAUUUCUAAUUUUUGUAAAAAUUUGUUUAAGGAGACAAAAUGCAAACUUUUACUAGAUAGAAAAGGUAGAGAGUCAUGAAGGCAAAAUAUUUUUUGACAAAUAAAUAUUUGGUCAUACAGUGGCUGGUGGUGUUUUUAUUUAUGUAUUGUACGUCAUAUAUUCUUUAAAAUUGUAUGUUUACAUAUCCACUUUCCAUAAUUUCCUAUUUCAUUUGUUUGUAAAUUUUAUUUUAGAAAAACUUAUAAAGUUUUUUUAAAGCUUAUUUCUGUAAUACUUUAAAGUAAUGUCUAAAAGUAUGUGCUAUUUUUCAUUCAACUAUACAAAUAUGUAAAAGCAUUUAUUAAAAAUAAUUAUUCUUUGUUAUGUAUAUUCAUAUAUUUUAAUUUGUUUCAAAAAAAAAAAUUCUUUUUAAAAUAUCAAUUUGUUUUGUGUGUGUUAAAUUAUACACAAUGCAAUUCAGAAUUAUUUAUUAUUAUUUUGUUGAGCUUACUUUUAUUUAUGUUCUUUUUUUUU
Molecule: unclassified non-coding RNA, 4499 nt
Organism: Parasteatoda tepidariorum (common house spider)
Lineage: Eukaryota; Metazoa; Arthropoda; Arachnida; Araneae; Theridiidae
Source: RefSeq, a predicted model, not a curated record